UACAGGGGGUGCAAACGUUGCUCGGAAUCAUUGGGCGUAAAGCGCACGUAGGUGGUCGUUUAAGUCGGAUGUGAAAGCCCUCGGCUCAACUGAGGAAGUGCAUCCGAAACUGAUCGGCUGGAGUACGAAAGAGGGUCGCGGAAUUCCCGGUGUAGAGGUGAAAUUCGUAGAUAUCGGGAGGAACACCAGUGGCGAAGGCGGCGACCUGGUUCGAUACUGACGCUGAGGUGCGAAAGCGUGGGGAGCAAACAGG
RNAcentral lists this ribosomal RNA (253 nucleotides) under uncultured bacterium. RNAcentral describes it as "partial 16S ribosomal RNA". It matches the Rfam family "Bacterial small subunit ribosomal RNA", at positions 524 to 776 of the family's 1533-position model. The record is from RNAcentral.